GGGGGGACGCAGUAGGAUAGGCGAAGCGUGCUGUUGGAGUGCACGUCCAAGCAGUGAGAUUGAGUGUUAGGCAAAUCCGGCACUCUUAAGAUUGAGCUGUGAUGGGGAGAGGAACUUGUUCCUCGAGUCGUUGAUUUCACACUGCCGAGAAAAGCCUCUAGCUAGAAUAACGGUGCCCGUACCGCAAACCGACACAGGUAGUCAAGAUGAGAAUUCUAAGGUGAGCGAGCGAACUCUCGUUAAGGAACUCGGCAAAAUGACCCCGUAACUUCGGGAGAAGGGGUGCUCUUUGAGGUUCACGCUUCGAAGAGCCGCAGUGAAUAGGCCCAAGCGACUGUUUAUCAAAAACACAGGUCUCUGCUAAACCGUAAGGUGACGUAUAGGGGCUGACGCCUGCCCGGUGCUGGAAGGUUAAGAGGAGUGGUUAGCGCAAGCGAAGCUACGAAUCGAAGCCCCAGUAAACGGCGGCCGUAACUAUAACGGUCCUAAGGUAGCGAAAUUCCUUGUCGGGUAAGUUCCGACCCGCACGAAAGGCGUAACGAUUUGGGCACUGUCUCAACGAGAGACUCGGUGAAAUCAUAGUACCGGUGAAGAUGCCGGUUACCCGCGACAGGACGGAAAGACCCCGUGGAGCUUUACUGUAGCCUGAUAUUGAAAUUCGGUACAGUUUGUACAGGAUAGGUAGGAGCCUUAGAAGCGUGAGCGCUAGCUUACGUGGAGGCAUUGGUGGGAUACUACCCUAAUUGUAUUGGAUUUCUAACCCGCAGCACUUAUCGUGCUGGGAGACAGUGUCAGGCGGGCAGUUUGACUGGGGCGGUCGCCUCCUAAAGAGUAACGGAGGCGCUCAAAGGUUCCCUCAGAAUGGUUGGAAAUCAUUCAUAGAGUGUAAAGGCAUAAGGGAGCUUGACUGCGAGACCUACAAGUCGAGCAGGGUCGAAAGACGGACUUAGUGAUCCGGUGGUUCCGCAUGGAAGGGCCAUCGCUCAACGGAUAAAAGCUACCCCGGGGAUAACAGGCUUAUCUCCCCCAAGAGUUCACAUCGACGGGGAGGUUUGGCACCUCGAUGUCGGCUCAUCGCAUCCUGGGGCUGUAGUCGGUCCCAAGGGUUGGGCUGUUCGCCCAUUAAAGCGGUACGCGAGCUGGGUUCAGAACGUCGUGAGACAGUUCGGUCCCUAUCCGUCGUGGGCGUAGGAAAUUUGAGAGGAGCUGUCCUUAGUACGAGAGGACCGGGAUGGACAUACCUCUGGUGUACCAGUUGUCGUGCCAACGGCAUAGCUGGGUAGCUAUGUAUGGACGGGAUAAGUGCUGAAAGCAUCUAAGCAUGAAGCCCCCCUCGAGAUGAGAUUUCCCAACUUCGGUUAUAAGAUCCCUCAAAGAUGAUGAGGUGAAUAGGUUCGAGGUGGAAGCGUAGCGAUACGUGGAGCUGACGAAUACUAAUCGAUCGAAGACUUAAUCAA
Molecule: ribosomal RNA, 1457 nt
Filed under: Staphylococcus pseudintermedius
Lineage: Bacteria; Bacillati; Bacillota; Bacilli; Caryophanales; Staphylococcaceae
Description: partial 23S ribosomal RNA
Rfam family: Bacterial large subunit ribosomal RNA
Source: RNAcentral